RNAcentral lists this ribosomal RNA (253 nucleotides) under uncultured bacterium. Its description in RNAcentral is "partial 16S ribosomal RNA". It matches the Rfam family "Bacterial small subunit ribosomal RNA", at positions 524 to 776 of the family's 1533-position model. The record is from RNAcentral.
AACGUAGGUGGCGAGCGUUAAUCGGAAUUACUGGGCGUAAAGCGUGCGCAGGCGGUUCGCUGUGUCCGAUGUGAAAGCCCCGGGCUCAACCUGGGAAUGGCAUGGGAAACUGGCGGGCUGGAGUGUGGCAGAGGGGGGUGGAAUUCCACGUGUAGCAGUGAAAUGCGUAGAGAUGUGGAGGAACACCGAUGGCGAAGGCAGCCCCCUGGGCUAACACUGACGCUCAUGCACGAAAGCGUGGGGAGCAAACAGG